This 910-nucleotide ribosomal RNA is filed under the name Curtobacterium sp. Its description in RNAcentral is "bacterial SSU rRNA". It matches the Rfam family "Bacterial small subunit ribosomal RNA", at positions 551 to 1459 of the family's 1533-position model. Lineage: Bacteria; Bacillati; Actinomycetota; Actinomycetes; Micrococcales; Microbacteriaceae. The record is from RNAcentral.
UUAUUGGGCGUAAGAGCUCGUAGGCGGUUUGUCGCGUCUGCUGUGAAAUCCCGAGGCUCAACCUCGGGCUUGCAGUGGGUACGGGCAGACUAGAGUGCGGUAGGGGAGAUUGGAAUUCCUGGUGUAGCGGUGGAAUGCGCAGAUAUCAGGAGGAACACCGAUGGCGAAGGCAGAUCUCUGGGCCGUAACUGACGCUGAGGAGCGAAAGCAUGGGGAGCGAACAGGAUUAGAUACCCUGGUAGUCCAUGCCGUAAACGUUGGGCGCUAGAUGUAGGGACCUUUCCACGGUUUCUGUGUCGUAGCUAACGCAUUAAGCGCCCCGCCUGGGGAGUACGGCCGCAAGGCUAAAACUCAAAGGAAUUGACGGGGGCCCGCACAAGCGGCGGAGCAUGCGGAUUAAUUCGAUGCAACGCGAAGAACCUUACCAAGGCUUGACAUACACCGGAAACGGCCAGAGAUGGUCGCCCCCUUGUGGUCGGUGUACAGGUGGUGCAUGGUUGUCGUCAGCUCGUGUCGUGAGAUGUUGGGUUAAGUCCCGCAACGAGCGCAACCCUCGUUCUAUGUUGCCAGCGGGUUAUGCCGGGGACUCAUAGGAGACUGCCGGGGUCAACUCGGAGGAAGGUGGGGAUGACGUCAAAUCAUCAUGCCCCUUAUGUCUUGGGCUUCACGCAUGCUACAAUGGCCGGUACAAAGGGCUGCGAUACCGUAAGGUGGAGCGAAUCCCAAAAAGCCGGUCUCAGUUCGGAUUGAGGUCUGCAACUCGACCUCAUGAAGUCGGAGUCGCUAGUAAUCGCAGAUCAGCAACGCUGCGGUGAAUACGUUCCCGGGGCCUUGUACACACCGCCCGUCAAGUCAUGAAAGUCGGUAACACCCGAAGCCGGUGGCCUAACCCUUGUGGAAGAGCCGUCGA